GAUAAGCCCGUUUGUAUGUUGUAUAAGUUGGUGUGUCUGUUGUAACUUGUAUAAGUUGCCAGUUUCUUUCCCAAGUUAAUAACUAAAGUUUUUGCACAACAGUCUAUAGUCUCCCAAUAGCAGUUAUACUUCAAGCUCCUUUUCCUUAUCUUGUAAUUUUGCAUGAAUUUUUGAAUGAAUAAUAAUCACUGAGUCACACUUGUGUAAUAC
Long non-coding RNA from Ipomoea nil (Japanese morning glory), 210 nucleotides. RefSeq lists it as uncharacterized. NCBI's taxonomy places the organism in Eukaryota, Viridiplantae, Streptophyta, Magnoliopsida, Solanales, Convolvulaceae. The transcript has 2 exons. The record is from RefSeq and is a predicted model, not a curated record.